UCUCCCGUAGCUCAGCAGCCAGAGCGCCUGUCCCACAAACAGGAAGUCGUAGGUGCAAUUCCUGCCGGGAGAA
This 73-nucleotide transfer RNA is filed under the name Phycisphaerae bacterium. RNAcentral's name for it is "tRNA-Val". It matches the Rfam family "tRNA". From Rfam's summary of the family: Transfer RNA (tRNA) molecules are approximately 80 nucleotides in length. Their secondary structure includes four short double-helical elements and three loops (D, anti-codon, and T loops). Lineage: Bacteria; Pseudomonadati; Planctomycetota; Phycisphaerae. The record is from RNAcentral.